This is a long non-coding RNA of Haplochromis burtoni (Burton's mouthbrooder), 155 nucleotides long. RefSeq lists it as uncharacterized. The transcript has 2 exons. The record is from RefSeq and is a predicted model, not a curated record. Lineage: Eukaryota; Metazoa; Chordata; Actinopteri; Cichliformes; Cichlidae.
AUAAAACAAAAAAAAUGUGACACAAAAACAUUCAAGGUAGCUAUAAAUAUUAAGAUCACUACACUCACUAUUAUAUCCAGAAAAGUACAAACAUGGUAUGUUUUCCCUCAUACUGUAAAUCAUUUUAUUUAAUGCACAGAUACCCUAUGUACUUU